GCCCGCAAGCGGGCGCUGGUCUGUUUUUAACCUCGCGGUAAGGCGGGGUCUUCCUAGCCAGCGGGGGCGGAGUGGCGACUCUCCUCAAAGCGCGCCGUUUCUCUUUUCCCAGUUUUGAACCCGGUGAACUAGCUUUAGGAAGUUGGGAGUUCGCAGCUUUCCCACAGUGUCUGCAGAGUACAGUCAGCCACGGGCUAGCUCCUCACAUGCUGGGCUGUACUGUCUGAACCCUGAGAGAGACCGGGUUGGGAGUCCCACGUGCAGUGAUAAGAAGGCCUGGUUCCUAAGGACCCGCAUCUUGGACAAAGGUUCUUGAGCAAGAUAAUGGACUCGCCUCGCCAGUGGGUCAGCCCUCAGUGUUGGUGCCUGUAACUGUGCUAGUAGUCGAAAGUAUCUGUUAGACGAUGAGCCACGCAGUGGCUGCAGUGCUCAAGCCCCCACCUUACUGCUUUGAUGUGACAGUAUUGGACAGAAGGUACCUGAAGAAAUACGUCAGGAAUCCCGGGCUUCAACUCUGUUGUACAUCAUAGUAGUCCUAAAGCCGGCAUAGAAAUGAAAACUUCCAGAGUACUUGCCUUCACAAUGAGAAUAAUUAGACCGGGACAUUAAGUGUAUACACAGCACCCGCUGCGGGGAGCCCUAGACGCCGCCUUACCAUUAAAAACUUCCUUAAAGCACAGCAGGAAAAACCAGAGGGACCUUUAAGGGACAGGAAGAGUCGCUGCUUGGCACUGCGAAUAACAAAGAUCCAUAUGGCCAGAGCUGAUUAACCAAGGAGCAACCUGAACAAUACAAUCAAUUUUAGCAGUCAGUCAAUAAUGCUGGACUGAGGCCUUCACUCCAAUCUACAGCUGGGAGUCUAAGCACAGGGCUUGUAGAGUACACGUCAUAUGUGGAAGAAGACAAUCAACCAGAACAACAUGUUGUGGGGCCUUUGAUUUUGGAGGCUGUUAACAGGUCCGUAUACUGCAGCAUACUCUAGAGAGGAGACCCAGAGGAAGAGAAGAAGAGCACACACUGUGGAGGCAAGAGGCAAAUUGCUAAGAGGUUGUAGCUGGGAGAAAGUAUUACUUUAGUAGGUUUAUGAUUUGAUUCUUUAAGAGAAUGAGACUAUAGGAAUCAGGAGUGAAUAGUCUAAGUUAUGAUAAUUGAUUACUCAAAAAGAAGAGAGAUGCAGUAAGAGAGUAAGAGCUGAUACUGUACAGAGAUGAGUAGGGAAACAAGGACAAAGAGGAAGAGGGAUGUGAAUAAAGAAUUGUGGAUUGUAAGAUAAAAGUACUGCCUGAAUAAAUAGUACUCAGUAUAUUGACAUUAUUUUAAGAUAUUUGAAACACUGCCUGCUCCACAGGCAAGCUGAGUACAAGCCUAUCCCCCAGCUCUAUUAGGUCUGUAUGGCAAGUAGUACCCAAAAAGUGGCACAUACCUUAUAAAGAACUACAAGUUCCCAUCUCACUACUUAUUUUCAGGCAAGGCCUCAGGGAAACUAGGUCAAGUGUUUUAGAGUUUAGGAACUUCAGAAGUCUGUGUGAUAUGUCCCAACAUGCUUCAUACUACAUUUCUCUUUGCUUUGAGCCAGAACAGAAUUUCAAACUUUAACUGACUCCUCCAUUUUCCCACUCCUCAAGUUCACAGCCAUAAUGACUAUGCCUUGAUUAGGUUCAACUAAUAAUUUUAUUACUUUCUUGAGGAUUGGAAUGGUGAAAAGAGGAUGAGGAAGAGCCAGAGAAUGUAAGAAAAGUUUCCCUCUGGACAAGAGAACUGGGUUGUUACAGUGCUAUGAAAAGCAGUUCUCUGAGGGCUUCAUCUACUACUGCACCUUCUGUGACAUAAAAACCCAGAUAUUGUAGGGUCAGGGAGUGAAUGUUUUCAUCUAGUGUUUCAUAUACUUGUUAUUUAAGCACUGGCACUGUGAUGAGUAAUAGAAAAUGAAAGUGUUACUCCCAACACUAUUUUUGCCUUCCCAAAUUCUUCAGAGAGUUCAGAACUCCAAAAAUGUUACUUAGGCACUUUAUCUGGAGGCUUCUCUUCUGGCUAUACUUUUAGAGAUGUAAGUAUAUGUUUUAGUUACUAAGAAAAAAUACCUGACACUUGAAGUUAAAGAAGGAGGUUUAUUUCAUCUCAGCUUGUAGAGGCUUCACUCUAUAGUCAGCGGGUUCCAAAGUAGGAUGGCAUGGCAAAAAAUUGUCAUAGAAGUGAAAUAACACUUCAUGGCAUGGAAAGCAGUGAGCAGAAAACAAGCAGCAAGUAAUGGUACCAAUCGUCUUCCUGUCCCUUAUAUGCUGUCCAGGCUACCUUCCCUGGGGCAACACACCAUUCCAGUGUGAAAACCUUAAUCCCAGAAUCACAUAGCCCAAAUCCAGUCACUUCCAAGAAGCCCCACCUAUGACCACAUGAGUGUUUUCAGAGACAUCUAGGUAUGCCACAACAGUGUAUCAUAGCUAAGUUUUAGUCCUGACCACUAAUAGCAUAUAGGGUGGCUCCUCUGAGCAGAUAGAGGCAAGAGUGCUCUUUUUGCUGAUUGCAUUCCUGUGCCACAAUACAUGGUUUGAUUAAUCAUAUGUGAAUGGCAUUUCAGCUUCCUUUUGCUCCUUCAGUUGAGAGUCUUUUGACAGAGCUCACAUAUACUAACAUGUUCAUGUUUGCAAUUCACUCAUGCUAAUAUAUGUACACCUUAACAAGCGCAUACAAAUGUAAUUACACAUUCAUUCAUACAGGUGAAUGUGCUCACAUUCAUGUGCCACAUUACAAGUUGACUCACACAGAUAUGUGCACUCACAGACAAGCUCAUAGUUUCUCUCAAAUAUACUCGUAUAUUGAAAACAUCAUAAUAAAAUAUGUUUAUAAAUUCACUCACACACACAAACAUGCUGAUAUUUGCACAUGUGAUCAUACUCUUCUUUGGCCACGUGAACAUGCAUAUUUACUGAAAGAGACAGCUGUACUCAUAUUAAGACACUCACAAUUGAACAAGCUCAUGUAUUCACUGCCUGACAUGGGCACUGUUGUAUAAAGAAGCCAAAGAUGACCUUUUGUAUUGACCCUAUGUUGUUUACUUCUUCACAGAUGGCUGGAACCUAUUAGCUCAAAAGCCAGCUGGCACUUAACUUGAGUUUUACAUAGUCAGUUGUUUCAAAUGUAUCCCAAAAUAAACAAAAUUUUAGCUAUUCAGAGCCUGUUUUGCAUUCUCUGCAAAAUUUCAACUAACAUCUGUUACCCAUAGAUAAAAAUGAAUCUUAUAGCUAUAAAAGACCUUGAGUCACUGAAGUUCUUUAACACUUUCUGACCCAGAGACCUCCUGUCAUGCUGCUGAAUAGCAUUAUCUAAAUAUGCAGGCCUUCUCACUGAUUCCAAGUUUUCUCUGGGAAAUCCUUUGCCUCCUUCUAGAAAGUUUUCCAUUGUGAGGAUGUCCUGCUCAGGUAAAGCUGUGAGUGUUCUUCAAACAAAGAUUAUCACAGGCAUUUUCCUCUCGAUUAGCUCCUGAUUCUCUUGAAAAAAGGAAAAAAUAUUGGAGUUGAUUAGGAAAUUGAUAUGAAGCUCAUCCAGUCAUUAUGUCAGUUAUCCAAGAUAGGUUCAAAUGAUUGGUACUAAAAUUUUUGAAUAUCUUCAGUUGGUAUGAUUUUUUUUAAAUUUUAAAUUUAUUUAUCAAAAGAAAGAAAGAAAGAAAGAAAAAAAGAAAGAAAGAAAGACAACAAAAUAGAAAAGAGCUAGAAUAAUACAGAAUCCAAAAAAAAAAAAAAAUAACACUAGGAAACCACUAGUUGAUACAUUACAUAGUCAUCUUAGAAAUAGUUGUUCAAGACAAAAUCAGAGCACAAAAAGUGGAUAGACACUCAAACAUUGACAGUGCAAACCAUUCUGUUCAAUAAUCCAACAGAAAUUUAGUAAUAUGUUCAUCUAUCUUACACACUUAUAGGCACCAUUUUAUCUUUAGAGCACUUUCACUUUUACAAUAUUAUAUAUUUUGGAUCUUAUUACUCUUUCAGUUUUUAUUGUUUUUUACACUAGAGAUACAAUGUGAUAUUUACUUUGUUGGCACGAUAUUGCUUUGUACAAUAUUCCAUUUUUAUUUUGUAUGGCUCUCCAAGUGCCUGAUUGAGUCAAAUAGCAGUAGCACUGUCAUUUGAAUGAAUGAAUGAACUAAUGCUGUUUUAACUGACUUUUGUGGUUAGAAGUAUGUGGCUCCAUGAGAAAGAUCAGUCUGCCCUGUAGGACUAAAUAGAAAAAGAAAAUUACAUACCUCAACACACCUUUGAAGCCCAUGCCGGAAGAUUUGAAGUUUCUGAGAUAAAAGCACUUCCCUCUCUUUGGGCCCUACCAAUGGCAGGUUGGCAGGUAAAUGAGCUAAUAAUCCAGAGAUACCAGGCCAAGGCUGAUCACUUAAGCAGAGUUGGGAGGAGAAACCUUUAUAAAGGUAGUAUGACUAUAUUGUUAUUUGAAUUUGCUUUUGCAGAAGACAUUACUCUAUGUCCUCCUUCAAAGAUAUGUACUUGUACAACUUCUCCAGGAUUGAUGUAUUCACUCUGUACUGUAAACAUGUGCUAAUAAAAGAGGAGUAUGGUGAGACCCAA
This is a long non-coding RNA of Cavia porcellus (domestic guinea pig), 4568 nucleotides long. RefSeq lists it as uncharacterized. Lineage: Eukaryota; Metazoa; Chordata; Mammalia; Rodentia; Caviidae. The transcript has 2 exons. The record is from RefSeq and is a predicted model, not a curated record.